This is a long non-coding RNA of Aethalodelphis obliquidens (Pacific white-sided dolphin), 1640 nucleotides long. RefSeq lists it as uncharacterized. The transcript has 3 exons. NCBI's taxonomy places the organism in Eukaryota, Metazoa, Chordata, Mammalia, Artiodactyla, Delphinidae. The record is from RefSeq and is a predicted model, not a curated record.
UCAUUACCCAGGUUUCCCUACGAAAGAGGACACGCAUUUCGUCAUCAAUAUAGCAGAGGCUGGUUUCUUUGCCUUUGCCGACACAGAAAUCACCUACCAGAGGGCGGAAAGCCAGACUCCAGUUGGCUAAGCUAAGCGUGAACCUGGGAUGGCCUCAGUGCUUUGCAGGAGGGUUAUCAGGUGCCCACUGCAGGAGAUCCAGCAUCUGGACUGAGCUCUGGAGAGAAUGUUCUGAGUUGGCUGGACAGUGCUGGGCAGUGGAGGAUGACCAGCUCCCUGAGGCGGAACCCUGGGUGUCUACUGAUGGAGACGGUGUCAGAUAAUGGGUAAGAGUUUGGGCUUCAGAACCUGGCAAGACUGGGUUGAGCCCUGGCCCUGUCAUUGGCCUGCUGUGUGAUCCUGGGGGAUUUACAGAGACUUGAUUUUCUCAUCUGUAAAAUGGGAACAAUACUUACCUUAAUACCUUCACUUAGCACGAUCGCCAGUGGCCUAUGUACUAGAUUCUGCUCUAACAAAUAUCCACAAACUUGAUGGCUUUAAGCAACAGAAAUGUAUUCUCUCACAAUUCUGGAGGCCAGAAUUUGGUGGUGUUAGCGUUCCAGAUUUUGGCCAUUCGAAAAGAUGGGUAGUGAUAUCUCAUUGUUUAAUUUACACUUUCCUGAUGACAUAGUCUGUGGAGCAUCUUUUUAUAUGUUUAUUUGCCACCUGUGUAUCAUCUCUGGGGAGAUGUGUACUAAGGUCUUUGGCCCAUAUGUUAAUUGGGCUGCUUGUUAUCUUGUUGAAUUUUAAGAGUUCUUUAUAUAUUUUGGAUAGCAGUCUUUUAUCAGAUGUGUCUUUUGCAAAUAUUUUCUCCCAGUCUGUGGCUUGUCUUCUCAUUCUCUUGACAUUGUCUUUCACAGUUCAUUCUAUUUUUUGAUGUUAUGAAGUGAACCAUCAAAAUAACUGAAAAUAAGGCUAUAGUCUCGACUACUGAAAGAUAAAGGGAAAGACGAAGUGUGUGAUAAUUUUCUCAUCUUUUAGAGCAGAAGUAGGCACAUGAAGGCCCAUGGGCCAGAUUCUACUUGUCACCUGGUUUUGUAAAUAAAGUUCUGUUAGAGCACAGACAUGCUCAUUCAAUUACUUAUUGUCUAUGGUUGCUUUCAUGCUACCACAGAAGUGAAUAACUGUGACAGAGACCAUAUGGCCUGCAAGGCCUAAAAUAUUUACUCUUUACCCUUUAUAUAAAAAAAUUUGGUGACCAACGUUUUAGAGCAAGACCUCAAGACAUCCAAGAAGCAGGGAUUACAUGUCAUUCAAAAAAUUAUGAAGACAACUACUAGAGGGUUAGAACGUAUUUUGUGUACUUUGCAACUCACAAGAAAGAAAACGUAUACUCAAGACACGUAAGACAAUUCGUGUGGGAAAUAAUGAGUAUAGAGAAAGCAUUUAAAGCAACAAAAAUGAGGAUAAAAUGAGACCCAGAAAUAUCUAUUAUUUAAAUAAAAUAAAGGAGACAAGCUUACUAAUUAAAUUAACAAGUUGAACGUUAAGUUGUAUUUAAGAGAUGGAUUAAAAAUAAAAUGAUGCAAAAAUCAAGAGUGACUUGUGGUUAAAAUGACUAGAUACUAUCUUCCCCCAGAGACCUACUAAAAUGAUAGCAA